GCAUCUGCUGGGCAUGGACGCAGCUCCUCAGGCUGGUCGUGCCCUCUGGACUGUUCCUGGCAGCAGAGGGGACGCUGCAGCUCCCAAGGCCGUGCCCAUGCCAGUUGUGAUGGGGCGGUUGGUGUGAGGGAGCCUUCUGCCUCUCCACCCUGUGGUGUCUUCAUGCCUUAGAACUGAACACGACGAUGACCGUGUAUGGUAACAGAGAUGUGAAAUGGAGAGAACUCACCCUGAGGACAUAGGAACUGGUGUUAUCCCGGGCAAGGCAUUUUCAUGUUCUUUAGUUUCAAGCAGGCACUAAGUGAAUUCAUUUUUUUUUAAGUCUUUACAGAAAGAAGCACGUUUGAGGGCUUCUGCUCACCAGGAGACAAUCCGUCUGCAGAACCAGGGGGUGCCAAGUGCCCCCUACCAGGACUCGAACAGUGAUGAGGAGGGUGAAGCCGUCGAAAACCACAACCAAGGGGAACGCGGAGAGGAAGGGGCCAGAAUCUAUUCUCCAGAGAGUGAUGAGGGACCAGAUGGAGAUGGGGCUCAAAGAUCACUGACAGCAAAGAAACUCACCACUGAUAAGAUGAACCCUCCAGAAAGAGGAAAGCAGGGAGUGAAGAGGAAGAGGAUGACUGAAGCAUAAAACGUGUACUUACUAUAAAUAUGGUUUUCAACUGCUUGCUUUAAAACAGUGAUGAAAUGACUUGGGAUUGAAGUGAGGAACUGAAUUCCUUUUGCAUA
RNAcentral lists this long non-coding RNA (729 nucleotides) under Bos mutus (wild yak). RNAcentral describes it as "lncRNA (ENSBMUG00000010220.1)". Lineage: Eukaryota; Metazoa; Chordata; Mammalia; Artiodactyla; Bovidae. The record is from RNAcentral.